RNAcentral lists this ribosomal RNA (492 nucleotides) under uncultured Oxalobacteraceae bacterium. RNAcentral's name for it is "bacterial SSU rRNA". It matches the Rfam family "Bacterial small subunit ribosomal RNA", at positions 20 to 507 of the family's 1533-position model. The record is from RNAcentral. Lineage: Bacteria; Pseudomonadati; Pseudomonadota; Betaproteobacteria; Burkholderiales; Oxalobacteraceae.
UGGCUCAGAUUGAACGCUGGCGGCAUGCCUUACACAUGCAAGUCGAACGGCAGCACGGAGCUUGCUCUGGUGGCGAGUGGCGAACGGGUGAGUAAUAUAUCGGAACGUACCCUGGAGUGGGGGAUAACGUAGCGAAAGUUACGCUAAUACCGCAUACGAUCCAUGGAUGAAAGCAGGGGACCUUCGGGCCUUGUGCUCCUGGAGCGGCCGAUAUCUGAUUAGCUAGUUGGUGGGGUAAAGGCCUACCAAGGCAUCGAUCAGUAGCUGGUCUGAGAGGACGACCAGCCACACUGGAACUGAGACACGGUCCAGACUCCUACGGGAGGCAGCAGUGGGGAAUUUUGGACAAUGGGCGCAAGCCUGAUCCAGCAAUGCCGCGUGAGUGAAGAAGGCCUUCGGGUUGUAAAGCUCUUUUGUCAGGGAAGAAACGGGAGUGGCUAAUAUCUGUUCCUAAUGACGGUACCUGAAGAAUAAGCACCGGCUAACUACGUG